Long non-coding RNA from Gadus macrocephalus (Pacific cod), 3103 nucleotides. RefSeq lists it as uncharacterized. The record is from RefSeq and is a predicted model, not a curated record. The transcript has 2 exons. NCBI's taxonomy places the organism in Eukaryota, Metazoa, Chordata, Actinopteri, Gadiformes, Gadidae.
UCAGGGAAUUUGUAUAGCGUUUUUAUUAUUUUGGUGGAAACUCAAAGCACUUACAGUGAAGGGAGGGACCUCACUAACCACAACCAAUGAGUCGCACCCAUGGGUGAUGCACCAAUCAGCGCCAGAACGUUCACCACACACUGGCUUGAGGUGGAGAGUGAGGGAAUUAAUGAAUCAGACAAUUAUACAGGGGGAUGAUUAGGGUGCCAGAUUGAAUGAGCCUGGUUGGGCAUUUUUAGCAAGGACAACGGGAAACCCCCGCCUCUUUGCGAUAAAUGCCCUGGGAUCUUUUAUGACCUCAGUGAGUCAGCUUAGACACUUUACACUUUUUUAAUUCACUUGUUUAUUCUCUGAUGUGUGUGGUUUGUGAAUAUGUGAUGCACAGUAACUCGUACCAUGUGAACUCAAAUGCCAACGGGAAUAUCAAGUUACGUUAGUUUAAGUGAAUUUAAAGGCCAUUUGGACGUGUAGCCUCUGUGAAGUCAGCCUUAUACCGACAGAACCAUCGAUGUCAGCAACCAUCCGCAGCAAACGGUUCUUAUUUAAGGGCGGGGCUUCGUUAUAGUUUACAACCAAAACUAAUUAAUUUACUAAGGUUAUAAUUUCUUGACGACAUAAAACCAGCGAAUGGGACCUCACAAAAUACAAUAUGGCGACACUAAGCUUCUAACUGAAAAAAAGAAAGAAAUGAUCGGCUUUGUAUCACCUGAAGGAAAUCAUAUUUUUCACGUGUCUUAAUUGAACGGAUCUUUUUGCGUCCAAAUGCCACAAACAGUUAUGAGCUAGGCUACAUGCUAGUCAUCUCCGCCAAAGCUCAACUAACAGCAGUAAUGGCUGUGUGUAGUUAGGACUUAUAUGAUGCUAUAUGAUGCCUACGUAUAUGAUGCUAGUGAGGACUUAUUUGAUACAAAUUAACUAUCUGGUACUAUGAAUAAGCUAAUUCUGGCAAACUCUUCUGAUGCUACUACAUUAACAAUCUUAAAUCUUCGACCCAUCAUGUUGCAUGAUACUUUUUUUAUUUUUUUGGUAAGGAUCUCAGAGGCUCCAUAUUAUUAUGUAUUUUGUCACGUUUGACAGUAAUUUGAUUAUUAAUGUAUUCAGGAUGGAAUAUUAAUGAGUGACAUACGCUGACCACUGUGUGGUGGCCAUGAAAGACCCUCAAUGUGCCAAAUGGGUUAGGUUUCCACUGCUUGGGGAACAGAUCCCCUACGAUGGUGCUGUCCAUGGGGGGUAAAUCCACACCCCAAACAGUCUGGGUGAACCGAUCGGGGACGUCACCGACAGUAUGUCCACAUUUCUUGCACUCCGUGUUAUACAAAAUAUGGACCUAGCAUCGGAGAUAUCUCCGGAGCGAAACAGGAGACAAGGCGUAACUGUCGUCUCACCUCAGGAGUUCUGUCGUAGCGUGUUAUGACUGCUGGGACAACAUUAGUUCACUUUCAGCACUUUAAAAACUUAGCUGAUGCUAGUUAUCAUCCAUCUGGUAAAGGUGAGCACUUAUCUAAUGCUUUGAUGGUACCUGGUAGCACUUCAGAUGCUAGCACCUGGUAGCACUUAUCAGAUGCUAGUCUGGAUUUAUAUGAAUGCUAGAUAGCUAUCUGAUGCGAUUUAUGACUUAGCUGAUGCUAGUUAGCUAUAUGUUGCUAGCUAUGACUUCUGAUAUUGAUUAGCCAUAUGAUGCUAGUUACCCAAGUGUUAAACUUCACACAUCACAGGGAGAGAGAAUAGAUAGUUUAUUAAUCUCCAAAGGGAAAUUACGUUGUAACAGCAGCACAGAUUCUAAAAUAAAAUAUAAAUAAAAAAAUAUAUAUAAAAACAAAGGUAAUAGUCAACAAUAUGAUUAAAUUCAAUUUGACUUCUCACAAUACAACACAAAAUUAUCCAUAAAUAGUAAAUACUAAUGCAAACCAAACAAUACUACUAAUACUGUAUUACAAUAUAGUUAGAUCCUGGUGAUAUACAUUCAUGUUGCCGUGGUAAUGUCAGGUUUACAUUCCUGUUGCCAUCGUGACGUCAUGUUUACAUUCACAUUGUCGUAGUGAUGUGGUUGGGUUGCCGUAGUGAUGUCAGGUGGGUGUUGCCGUAGUGAUGUCAGGUGGGUGUUGCCUGGCCACGUCAGGUGGGUGUGGCCGUGGCAAUGUCAGGUGGGUGUUGCUGUGUUGACAUCAGGUGGGUGUUGCCGUGGUGACGUCAGGUGGGUGUUACCGUGGUGAUGUCAGGUGGGUGAUGUCAGGUGGGUGUUGCCGUCAGGUGGGUGUUGCCGUGGUGACGUCAGGUGGGUGUUGCCGUGGCGACGUCAGGUGGGUGUUGCCCUGGUGACGUCAGGUGGUUCUUGCCAAUGUCAUUACAGUGGCAACGUUGAAGGUUUUUUCACGUUUCAAUUAAUUUAUCAGAAGUUAAAGGUUGGGUAUGGGAUUUGCGAAACGCCAGCAGAUUUUGAAAAUACACAACUCAAAUGAUCCUAACCCCUCUCCUUCAACGCUGACAGCGCGAAGGAGUGCUUGGUCUUCUAGUGCUAGGUCCAAAUGUGGAUUAGCUAGUUAGCUAGCUCCAGUAGCUGCCGCAGGAUAACAACAAGCAGAAGCUUGCUCUGGGUCACGAGCUUUGAGUACGUGCACGAAGGGGUCACGCGCGGGGGGAGGGGGAGUGCAGUACGACCGUUUGAUUGACGUACUUACUGUCCAAUGCCACUCGGUGGUUCUGGAAAUCAUUGGCUGGAGUUUUCCGAGCCCUGCCCGUUCCACAGAUGAUUGACUUGUUUAAUUUUCAUGUCAGUACUUCUAACUCAGUGGCUGUAAGUGGGUUAUGAUAAGGAUUUCAAGGAAUUUUGCAAAAAUGGCCAAAAAAGAGAAUUCCAUACCCAACCUUUAAUAUCGAGGUGACUGACAGUGAGUUCAGAUCCAGGAAGCGGUGAGGGCCCCUCACCCUCUCCAGGUGAGGGCCCCUCACCCUCUACAGGUGAGGGGCCCUCACCCUCCAGGGAGGCUCCGCUCUCCAGCCCCCGCUCUGCCUCUGAGCCCCCUGUGGAGGGGGGUGUCGGUGAGUUAAGGGUCCCAGUCUGGUCCUGACUCAACCGACACCAGAACCGGUCCCUGAUCGGUCC